GCCGAGGUAGCUCAGUUGGUAGAGCAGUGGACUGAAAAUCCUCGUGUCGACAGUUCGAUUCUGUCCCUCGGCACCG
RNAcentral lists this transfer RNA (76 nucleotides) under Polyangiaceae bacterium. RNAcentral's name for it is "tRNA-Phe". It matches the Rfam family "tRNA". Rfam says of the family: Transfer RNA (tRNA) molecules are approximately 80 nucleotides in length. Their secondary structure includes four short double-helical elements and three loops (D, anti-codon, and T loops). Lineage: Bacteria; Pseudomonadati; Myxococcota; Polyangiales; Polyangiaceae. The record is from RNAcentral.